Sistotremastrum niveocremeum HHB9708 is the source of this 72-nucleotide transfer RNA. It matches the Rfam family "tRNA". Rfam says of the family: Transfer RNA (tRNA) molecules are approximately 80 nucleotides in length. NCBI's taxonomy places the organism in Eukaryota, Fungi, Basidiomycota, Agaricomycetes, Sistotremastrales, Sistotremastraceae. The record is from Rfam.
UCCGUCAUUGUCUAAUGGCUAUGAUAUAUCGCUCUCACCGAUAAGGUCGGGGUUCGAUUCCCCGUGACGGAA